UUGAUUUUGUGUGCACCACGGAAUCUGUACUGGCAAGCUCACAUUUCAGUGCCACUUACCAUAUAGGUGCGUAUGUUAGUAGUUAUGUCAUGCACAUUUCAUGCUCGACAUAAUCUGCUGUGACAUUUUUUCUAUCCACAGAAUUGCACGUUCUCAAUGAGUUGCAGAUGCAACAAGAAUCGUUUACACCACGAGAAUAUGAUUGCAAGUACCAUUAGACAGCCUGCGGGCACCAUAGACUGUAGCCAGGCGAGUAGGGGAAAGGACAGCAUGUAUGUCAGCUCCCUAGAGAGCAAGGUUGCAGACAACUUCAGCUGUAGGGGGCACAGAUGAAGAAUUUUGGUGGGACAGCUUGCAGGAGGACACUGCUGGUCAUGCAUAUCUAGAUGUCCUGCAAGGCUUACUGCAGUUUCUGCGGUGAAGAUUAGCAACUUUCCAACAACCAUGCUUCAGUCGCUCAGGAAACAAUGCUUAGGAGCACGAGGCCAGAUCCUAAUGUGAAGCAAGGACCAGAAUAACAGCUCUUGAAUCAAUCAGAAAAUGUAGAGGUCAUCAGUGUAUUAUCUCUGAACCUAUGAAAGGACAGUAAAAAGGCUGAAGGCUGCUUUUGAGAGAGCAAUAAUAAUAUGGAGGGAGUUGCCAAGAUAGCACAGCUGAUCGAGAACACAGUCUAAGAAGAACACCAUCACAAUUCAUUUCAGAAAAUGUGUCCAGCUUUUCCUAUCCAUGGUCAGCAAGCUUUUGUAUGCAAAGCUGGGUAAAGAAUAAAACAAUAAAAAAAAAUUAUUAAAAACA
This is a long non-coding RNA of Rhincodon typus (whale shark), 795 nucleotides long. RefSeq lists it as uncharacterized. The record is from RefSeq and is a predicted model, not a curated record. The transcript is spliced from 3 exons. NCBI's taxonomy places the organism in Eukaryota, Metazoa, Chordata, Chondrichthyes, Orectolobiformes, Rhincodontidae.